Molecule: ribosomal RNA, 253 nt
Filed under: uncultured bacterium
Lineage: Bacteria
Description: partial 16S ribosomal RNA
Rfam family: Bacterial small subunit ribosomal RNA
Source: RNAcentral
UACGAAGGGGGCUAGCGUUGCUCGGAAUCACUGGGCGUAAAGCGCACGUAGGCGGAUCUUUAAGUCAGGGGUGAAAUCCUGGAGCUCAACUCCAGAACUGCCUUUGAUACUGGGGAUCUCGAGUCCGGGAGAGGUGAGUGGAACUGCGAGUGUUGAGGUGAAAUUCGUAGAUAUUCGCAAGAACACCAGUGGCGAAGGCGGCUCACUGGCCCGGUACUGACGCUGAGGUGCGAAAGCGUGGGGAGCAAACAGG